This 492-nucleotide ribosomal RNA is filed under the name uncultured bacterium. RNAcentral describes it as "partial 16S ribosomal RNA". It matches the Rfam family "Bacterial small subunit ribosomal RNA", at positions 29 to 507 of the family's 1533-position model. The record is from RNAcentral.
AGUGAACGCUGGCGGUAGGCCUAACACAUGCAAGUCGAACGGCAGCACAGUAGGAGCUUGCUCUUACGGGUGGCGAGUGGCGGACGGGUGAGGAAUACAUCGGAAUCUACUUUUUCGUGGGGGAUAACGUAGGGAAACUUACGCUAAUACCGCAUACGACCUACGGGUGAAAGCAGGGGAUCUUCGGACCUUGCGCGAUUGAAUGAGCCGAUGUCGGAUUAGCUAGUUGGCGGGGUAAAGGCCCACCAAGGCGACGAUCCGUAGCUGGUCUGAGAGGAUGAUCAGCCACACUGGAACUGAGACACGGUCCAGACUCCUACGGGAGGCAGCAGUGGGGAAUAUUGGACAAUGGGCGCAAGCCUGAUCCAGCCAUACCGCGUGGGUGAAGAAGGCCUUCGGGUUGUAAAGCCCUUUUGUUGGGAAAGAAAAGCAGCAGGUUAAUACCCCGCUGUUCUGACGGUACCCAGAGAAUAAGCACCGGCUAACUUCGUG